RNAcentral lists this long non-coding RNA (299 nucleotides) under Triticum aestivum (bread wheat). RNAcentral's name for it is "long non-coding RNA (TAES_LNC026247)". Lineage: Eukaryota; Viridiplantae; Streptophyta; Magnoliopsida; Poales; Poaceae. The record is from RNAcentral.
UGGCCCAUGAAAUGAGAUAUCCUGGGGGAGACUGCACCUCUGACAUAUGGAUCUAGGACGAAGGGUGUAGGGUGCAUAUGCAGCUGGAGAUCCAUGGUGUUAAGCUCACUGUAAUUAAGAUGGUUUCUUCCCUGCCUGCGGUGUUGUAUGUGAUGUGGUAUCAAUUGGAAUAAGUUCCUGAUAGAACCUCUGACAUUGGCUUCAUGGGAGCUUGUGCCCUAAUAAGAGUUGCCUCUGAUUCUGAAAUUUCUGAUGCUUUUGUAGGCCUUAUAUCUUCUGCUUGAAAUGUUCUAAACGAG